RNAcentral lists this ribosomal RNA (429 nucleotides) under Chloroflexota bacterium. RNAcentral describes it as "Chloroflexi bacterium partial 16S ribosomal RNA". It matches the Rfam family "Bacterial small subunit ribosomal RNA", at positions 355 to 776 of the family's 1533-position model. RNAcentral also lists the same sequence under 1 other name. Lineage: Bacteria; Bacillati; Chloroflexota. The record is from RNAcentral.
UAGGGAAUCUUCGGCAAUGGACGAAAGUCUGACCGAGCAACGCCGCGUGAGUGAAGAAGGUUUUCGGAUCGUAAAACUCUGUUGUUAGAGAAGAACAAGGACGUUAGUAACUGAACGUCCCCUGACGGUAUCUAACCAGAAAGCCACGGCUAACUACGUGCCAGCAGCCGCGGUAAUACGUAGGUGGCAAGCGUUGUCCGGAUUUAUUGGGCGUAAAGCGAGCGCAGGCGGUUUCUUAAGUCUGAUGUGAAAGCCCCCGGCUCAACCGGGGAGGGUCAUUGGAAACUGGGAGACUUGAGUGCAGAAGAGGAGAGUGGAAUUCCAUGUGUAGCGGUGAAAUGCGUAGAUAUAUGGAGGAACACGAGUGGCGAAGGCGGCUCUCUGGUCUGUAACUGACGCUGAGGCUCGAAAGCGUGGGGAGCAAACAGG